GCCUCGGUAGCUCAGGGGUAGAGCGCUCGCUUGGUAAGCGAGAGGUCGCGGGUUCGAUUCCCGCCCGAGGCU
This 72-nucleotide transfer RNA is filed under the name Microcaldota archaeon. Its description in RNAcentral is "tRNA-Thr". It matches the Rfam family "tRNA". From Rfam's summary of the family: Transfer RNA (tRNA) molecules are approximately 80 nucleotides in length. Their secondary structure includes four short double-helical elements and three loops (D, anti-codon, and T loops). Lineage: Archaea; Nanobdellati; Microcaldota. The record is from RNAcentral.